Molecule: ribosomal RNA, 654 nt
Filed under: uncultured Porphyromonadaceae bacterium
Lineage: Bacteria; Pseudomonadati; Bacteroidota; Bacteroidia; Bacteroidales; Porphyromonadaceae
Description: bacterial SSU rRNA
Rfam family: Bacterial small subunit ribosomal RNA
Source: RNAcentral
CAGCACGGGAGUAGCAAUACAACUGGUGGCGACCGGCGCACGGGUGAGUAACGCGUAUGCAACCUAUCUAUCAGAGGGGAAUAACCCGGCGAAAGUCGGACUAACAUCGCAUAAAACAGGGGCACCGCAUGGUGCUAUUUGUUAAAGAAAUUCGCUGAUAGAUGGGCAUGCGUUCCAUUAGGUAGUUGGUGAGGUAACGGCUCACCAAGCCGACGAUGGAUAGGGGAACUGAGAGGUUGGUCCCCCACACUGGUACUGAGACACGGACCAGACUCCUACGGGAGGCAGCAGUGAGGAAUAUUGGUCAAUGGGCGAGAGCCUGAACCAGCCAAGUCGCGUGAAGGAAGAAGGAUCUAUGGUUCGUAAACUUCUUUUGCAGGGGAAUAAAGUGCGGGACGUGUCCUGUUUUGUAUGUACCCUGAGAAUAAGGAUCGGCUAACUCCGUGCCAGCAGCCGCGGUAAUACGGAGGAUCCGAGCGUUAUCCGGAUUUAUUGGGUUUAAAGGGUGCGUAGGUGGUUUUAUAAGUCAGCGGUGAAAGUUUGCAGCUUAACUGUAAAAAUGCCGUUGAAACUGUAAGACUUGAGUGUAAAUGAGGUAGGCGGAAUGCGUGGUGUAGCGGUGAAAUGCAUAGAUAUCACGAAGAACUCCGAUUG